GUGGGGAAUAUUGCACAAUGGGCGAAAGCCUGAUGCAGCAACGCCGCGUGAAGGAUGAAGGCCUUUGGGUCGUAAACUUCUGUCCUUGGGGAAGAAAAAAAUGACGGUACCCCUGGAGGAAGUCCCGGCUAACUACGUGCCAGCAGCCGCGGUAAUACGUAGGGGGCGAGCGUUAUCCGGAAUUAUUGGGCGUAAAGAGUACGUAGGUGGUUUUUUAAGCGCAGGGUUUAAGGCGAUGGCUCAACUGUCGUUCGCCCUGUGAACUGGAAGACUUGAGUACAGGAGAGGAAAGCGGAAUUCCUAGUGUAGCGGUGAAAUGCAUAGAUAUUAGGAGGAACACCAGUGGCGAAGGCGGCUUUCUGGACUGUAACUGACACUGAGGUACGAAAGCGUGGGGAGCAAACAGGAUUAGAAACCCCGGUAGUCC
This 427-nucleotide ribosomal RNA is filed under the name uncultured bacterium. RNAcentral describes it as "partial 16S ribosomal RNA". It matches the Rfam family "Bacterial small subunit ribosomal RNA", at positions 354 to 796 of the family's 1533-position model. The record is from RNAcentral.